AUGGCGUUUACCAGGAGGAACACAGGCGCCGUAUGCUUGGCCGCCCUCAUGGUGGUGAUGGCCACCAUGAUGCUGUCCUGUGAUGCAGGUUAUAAUUACAUACAUAUUCCCGGGCCAUGCGUGCAGUCGUUAUGCAAGGAUGAAUGUGCUAGACAAAAUUACCCCAAUAGACCCCACUGCCAGCCCGUGACCGAUGAAUGCUGUUGUGACACUUCCGCAAGGCCCGAGGUCGACCACGCCAUCCGUCAAGCUUGA
Molecule: ribosomal RNA, 255 nt
Filed under: Triticum aestivum (bread wheat)
Lineage: Eukaryota; Viridiplantae; Streptophyta; Magnoliopsida; Poales; Poaceae
Description: partial small subunit ribosomal RNA
Source: RNAcentral